UGUCAGCUCACAACUCCGUCAGUCAGUUCC
RNAcentral lists this non-coding RNA (30 nucleotides) under Mus musculus (house mouse). Lineage: Eukaryota; Metazoa; Chordata; Mammalia; Rodentia; Muridae. The record is from RNAcentral.